Molecule: ribosomal RNA, 485 nt
Filed under: fungal sp. 1895c2d
Lineage: Eukaryota; Fungi
Description: eukaryotic LSU rRNA
Rfam family: 5.8S ribosomal RNA (bases 156-309)
Source: RNAcentral
CAUUACCGAGUUAUUCAACUCAUCAACCCUGUGAACAUACCUAAACGUUGCUUCGGCGGGAAUAGACGGCCCCGUGAAACGGGCCGCCCCCGCCAGAGGACCCUUAACUCUGUUUCUAUAAUGUUUCUUCUGAGUAAAACAAGCAAAUAAAUCAAAACUUUCAACAACGGAUCUCUUGGCUCUGGCAUCGAUGAAGAACGCAGCGAAAUGCGAUAAGUAAUGUGAAUUGCAGAAUUCAGUGAAUCAUCGAAUCUUUGAACGCACAUUGCGCCCGCCAGUAUUCUGGCGGGCAUGCCUGUUCGAGCGUCAUUACAACCCUCAGGCCCCCGGGCCUGGCGUUGGGGAUCGGCGGAGCCUCUCUGUGGGCACACGCCGUCCCCCAAAUACAGUGGCGGUCCCGCCGCAGCUUCCAUCGCGUAGUAGCUAACACCUCGCGACUGGAGAGCGGCGCGGCCACGCCGUAAAACACCCAACUCUUCUGAAGU